AUUGUUCGCAAUGGGCGCAAGCCUGACGACGCAACGCCGCGUGGGGGAUGAAGGUCCUCGGAUUGUAAACCCCUGUUGGGUGGGACGAACACUUUCGUGGUGAACAGCCAUGGAAGCUGACGGUACCACCUGAGGAAGCACCGGCUAACUCUGUGCCAGCAGCCGCGGUAAUACAGAGGGGGCAAGCGUUGUUCGGAAUUACUGGGCGUAAAGGGCGCGUAGGCGGCCUGUUAAGUCGGACGUGAAAUCCCUCGGCUCAACCGGGGAACUGCGUCCGAUACUGGCGGGCUUGAGUUCGGGAGAGGGAUGUGGAAUUCCAGGUGUAGCGGUGAAAUGCGUAGAUAUCUGGAGGAACACCGGUGGCGAAGGCGGCAUCCUGGACCGACACUGACGCUGAGGCGCGAAAGCCAGGGGAGCAAACGGGA
Molecule: ribosomal RNA, 425 nt
Filed under: uncultured bacterium
Lineage: Bacteria
Description: bacterial SSU rRNA
Rfam family: Bacterial small subunit ribosomal RNA
Source: RNAcentral